RNAcentral lists this ribosomal RNA (502 nucleotides) under uncultured bacterium. Its description in RNAcentral is "partial 16S ribosomal RNA". It matches the Rfam family "Bacterial small subunit ribosomal RNA", at positions 30 to 523 of the family's 1533-position model. The record is from RNAcentral.
AUUGAACGCUGGCGGCAUGCCUUACACAAGCAAGUCGAACGGCAGCAUAGGAGCUUGCUCCUGAUGGCGAGUGGCGAACGGGUGAGUAAUAUAUCGGAACGUGCCCUAGAGUGGGGGAUAACUAGUCGAAAGAUUAGCUAAUACCGCAUACGAUCUACGGAUGAAAGUGGGGGAUCGCAAGACCUCAUGCUCCUGGAGCGGCCGAUAUCUGAUUAGCUAGUUGGUGGGGUAAAAGCCUACCAAGGCGACGAUCAGUAGCUGGUCUGAGAGGACGACCAGCCACACUGGGACUGAGACACGGCCCAGACUCCUACGGGAGGCAGCAGUGGGGAAUUUUGGACAAUGGGGGCAACCCUGAUCCAGCAAUGCCGCGUGAGUGAAGAAGGCCUUCGGGUUGUAUAGCUCUUUUGUCAGGGAAGAAACGGUUCUGGAUAAUACCCAGAGCUAAUGACGGUACCUGAAGAAUAAGCACCGGCUAACUACGUGCCAGCAGCCGCAGUAA